AUUGAACGCUGGCGGCAGGCCUAACACAUGCAAGUCGAACGGCAGCACAGAAGAGCUUGCUCUUUGGGUGGCGAGUGGCGGACGGGUGAGUAAUGUCUGGGAAACUGCCCGAUGGUGGGGGAUAACUACUGGAAACGGUAGCUAAUACCGCAUAACGUCGCAAGACCAAAGUGGGGGACCUUCGGGCCUCACACCAUCGGAUGUGCCCAGAUGGGAUUAGCUAGUAGAUGGGGUAAUGGCUCACCUAGGCGACGAUCCCUAGCUGGUCUGGGAGGAUGACCAGCCACACUGGAACUGAGACAUGGUCCAGACUCCUACGGGAGGCAGCAGUGGGGAAUAUUGCACAAUGGGCGCAAGCCUGAUGCAGCCAUGCCGCGUGUAUGAAGAAGGCCUUCGGGUUGUAAAGUACUUUCAGCGGGGAGGAAGGCGGUGAGGUUAAUAACCUCGCCGAUUGACGUUACCCGCAGAAGAAGCACCGGCUAACUCCGUGCCAGCCGCCGCGGUAA
RNAcentral lists this ribosomal RNA (506 nucleotides) under uncultured bacterium. RNAcentral's name for it is "partial 16S ribosomal RNA". It matches the Rfam family "Bacterial small subunit ribosomal RNA", at positions 30 to 523 of the family's 1533-position model. The record is from RNAcentral.